AUUGAACGCUGGCGGAAUGCUUUACACAUGCAAGUCGAACGGCAGCACGGACUUCGGUCUGGUGGCGAGUGGCGAACGGGUGAGUAAUGUAUCGGAACGCGCCCAGGUGUGGGGGAUAACGUAGUGAAAAUUACGCUAAUACCGAAUACGAUCUAUGGAUGAAAGCGGGGGGUCGCAAGACCUCGCGCGAUUGGCGCGGCCGAUAUCAGAUUAGGUAGUUGGGAGGGUAAAGGACCACCAAGCCAACGAUCUGUAGCUGGUCUGAGAGGACGACCAGCCACACUGGAACUGAGACACGGUCCAGACUCCUACGGGAGGCAGCAGUGGGGAAUUUUGGACAAUGGGCGAAAGCCUGAUCCAGCCAUUCCGCGCGCAGGAUGAAGGCCCCCGGGUUGUAAACUGCUUUUGUACAGAACGAAAAGGUUUCUACUAAUACUAGGAGCUCAUGACGGUACUGUAAGAAUAAGCACCGGCUAACUACGUGCCAGCCGCCGCCGUAA
This 500-nucleotide ribosomal RNA is filed under the name uncultured bacterium. RNAcentral describes it as "partial 16S ribosomal RNA". It matches the Rfam family "Bacterial small subunit ribosomal RNA", at positions 30 to 523 of the family's 1533-position model. The record is from RNAcentral.